AUUGAACGCUGGCGGCAUGCUUUACACAUGCAAGUCGAACGGCAGCGCGGGCUUCGGCCUGGCGGCGAGUGGCGAACGGGUGAGUAAUGCAUCGGAACGUGCCCAGUAGUGGGGGAUAGCCCGGCGAAAGCCGGAUUAAUACCGCAUACGACCUGAGGGUGAAAGCGGGGGACCGAAAGGCCUCGCGCUAUUGGAGCGGCCGAUGUCGGAUUAGCUAGUUGGUGGGGUAAAGGCUUACCAAGGCGACGAUCCGUAGCUGGUCUGAGAGGACGACCAGCCACACUGGGACUGAGACACGGCCCAGACUCCUACGGGAGGCAGCAGUGGGGAAUUUUGGACAAUGGGGGCAACCCUGAUCCAGCCAUGCCGCGUGCGGGAAGAAGUCCUUCGGGUUGUAAACCGCUUUUUUUCGGGAAGAAAUCCUCUGGGCUAAUACCCCGGGGGGAUGACGGUACCGGAAGAAUAAGCACCGGCUAACUACGUG
Molecule: ribosomal RNA, 484 nt
Filed under: uncultured bacterium
Lineage: Bacteria
Description: partial 16S ribosomal RNA
Rfam family: Bacterial small subunit ribosomal RNA
Source: RNAcentral